Molecule: long non-coding RNA, 2175 nt
Organism: Triticum aestivum (bread wheat)
Lineage: Eukaryota; Viridiplantae; Streptophyta; Magnoliopsida; Poales; Poaceae
Exons: 2
Source: RefSeq, a predicted model, not a curated record
UCCACCUCUGAACUGUACAACCUGCUGUGCUUUCUAGCUAUUCUAUUUAUAUGUAGCCAUACAUUGGUACAGUUAAUUCAUAAACAUGAUUCAAUAGGAUUUGAUAUUUUUUCAUGUCUCAAGUUUUUAGCUCUUCCCUCUUGGUGUGCAAAUCUUUUAGAGGGAAUUUGGUGUGCCAAUUAUUUUCCUGAUUACUGUAGUUAUAGUUUUUCUCACUGUUAGAGCAGAGUAAAAUUCAAACUAUGAUAUUAGUGGUGGUUAGCUGAUAACUUGAUCAUAACAGGGGGCACACUAAUCUUCUUUCUUUUCUUCUCUAACAAAGUCUUAAUAUUAUAAGAAUGUUGUUUUCUUCUUUCAUAAUCUGACAAAUAAAAUUUCCCCUAAUUUCAGUUUGGAUAAGUCAAGGUUGCUUUUGGAUCUUAGUAGAAGAUAGACGUUAUGGAUUUAGACAAAAAUAGAUGUGGAUUUAGGGGUUCCGUAUGAUACUCAUGUCUUCUCUAUUUGGGGUACAAGUUCAAGUGAUCUUUUAGGCUACUAUUGAAGGGAAAUAUGUAUGCCGUUUUGUUCAUUUCAUCUCCACCUACCCACCUCGCAUCUACACAAUCCAACUACUCAAAGGAACAUACAGUUCCAGAAGUGAGAACUGUUGAGCUAUUAUAGCGCAGUUUUGGGAUGAUGGAUGUUCAGGCCAGCUAUGCAGACCUUAAGGUAAAUGUUUUUCCAGCUAAUUAACAUGAAAUGUCUUGUAACUUGAACUAAUAAUGAACAACUGAGGAAUGCUGCCUGAAUGAAUCCAAAAUGUGUUGGAAACACCAACGUCCAGUUGGAGAGGGAGCUAUCUGGAUCUCCAUCCAACUAGGACAUGUCUGCUUACAACUUUUUGUUGAACAUGAUAUUACAUGAUUCUAUCAAAGAUAACUCUCCUUUCUUCAGUGUACAUGCAUGAUAUUACAUGAUUAAACAUACCAUUUUUAACUUCAUUUAGUUGUCUAUAUUAUGCUCUAUGUGCUAUCACCAACAAAAAUAGUGUUACCUCCGUACCAGGCCUACCAAAUAUCUUAUAUUUUGGUACACAUGUAGUAUUUUUAGCCUGCAAAGCGACUCCUAUGCCCAGUGUGCCAAUAAUGUGUUUGCACCAGUGAAGAGAUAACUUAUUUUUUACAUUGUAAGAAAUACAUCCUGUUUCUUCCCCAUCAUUUAAGUGUGUGGCAUGCUAUCUUUGUUCAUGUUGCUGGCUGUACAUUUUCAGUAUUGUCAGGAUAUAUCUGAUUAUGAUGAUGUUCAGUACUACUUUGGAGCCGCAACUUUUUGGACUGCUUGAUGUUUAUAACCAAUGAGACUACUUUUUUGGUUGUUGGCUGGAGCUAUCACUAUGACUGGAUUUGUUUUCACCCAAGUAGAUUUAUAUGGUCAUCAAAAACCAACGACAGGUCAACACUUGUCAGCAGUUUGCAAUUUGUAUUACAGUAUGCCUAAGCCAAUGGUCAGACAAUGUUGUUUUAGUUAGGAAAUGUAGAAAAUGUGGUCAUGAUUUAUGUAGAUUCGACAGUCCCUUCAAACUGCAGUCUUCAACCUUGAGUGGACCAUCUAACUAUAUGUUUCCUUGUAGAAAAUUGACUAUAUGUUCCAUGAAUUGACUGAUUAUUUUGGCCCGAUCAGAUUAAACUAGGUCUUGAUUUGAAGGUCCAGCUAAGGCAGCUGGUGCUGGUUUAUUUGUUGUAAUACUAACUGUGCUAUUUAGACAGAGACAUGUGGUCUUUCUCAUUCCUCGAAAUUUUCCUUUGCUACCAAGAUUUUCCAUUCUAGGUUGUGGAAAAAUACAUGUAGCAUUCCUUCUACAAGUCGUCAUGAGCUGGGACAUAGAAGAAGAGAGCCGACGAGAAGUCGCACAGCGGUUCGCUCCGGUGUGGCUGCCAAUGGCGUUGCGCAAAGUGCAGAUUACAGGCUAGAUGCGUACGAGUCUGUCCCUACUUCCACGACGUGGAAGCAAAGGAAAUCGAGUCAAUUAGAUAGUAUAUUUGGUUAUGUAAGUUGUCUUUUGUGUAUGCAGUUUUACCAUUAUUUUGUAAAAGCUUUGAGUUUUUGAUAAUGUAAUUGUCUUACUAAUCACACUUUUAAUCUAUUCGUGCCAAGGCUAACAGCCAAGUUAUGCACAAGCUGUUGAUGUUUCCUUGA